CCUACGGGGUGCACCAGUGGGGAAUAUUGGACAAUGGGCGAAAGCCUGAUCCAGCCAUGCCGCGUGUGUGAAGGAGGCCUUUUGGUUGUAAAGCACUUUAAGCGAGGAGGAGGCUACCGAGAUUAAUACUCUAGGAUAGUGGACGUUACUCGCAGAAUAAGCACCGGCUAACUCUGUGCCAGCAGCCGCGGUAAUACAGAGGGUGCGAGCGUUAAUCGGAUUUACUGGGCGUAAAGCGUGCGUAGGCGGCUUCUUAAGUCGGAUGUGAAAUCCCUGAGCUUAACUUAGGAAUUGCAUUCGAUACUGGGAAGCUAGAGUAUGGGAGAGGAUGGUAGAAUUCCAGGUGUAGCGGUGAAAUGCGUAGAGAUCUGGAGGAAUACCGAUGGCGAAGGCAGCCAUCUGGCCUAAUACUGACGCUGAGGUACGAAAGCAUGGGGAGCAAACAGGAUUAGAUACCCCCGUAGUC
RNAcentral lists this ribosomal RNA (466 nucleotides) under uncultured bacterium. RNAcentral's name for it is "bacterial SSU rRNA". It matches the Rfam family "Bacterial small subunit ribosomal RNA", at positions 338 to 795 of the family's 1533-position model. The record is from RNAcentral.